Manacus vitellinus (golden-collared manakin) is the source of this 72-nucleotide non-coding RNA. The record is from Rfam. NCBI's taxonomy places the organism in Eukaryota, Metazoa, Chordata, Aves, Passeriformes, Pipridae.
CCCCUGGCGGUCUAGUGGUUGGGAUGCGGCGCUCUCACCGCUGCGGCCUGGGUUCGAUUCCCGGUCAGGGAA